This 379-nucleotide ribosomal RNA is filed under the name uncultured eukaryote. RNAcentral's name for it is "partial 18S ribosomal RNA". It matches the Rfam family "Eukaryotic small subunit ribosomal RNA", at positions 592 to 976 of the family's 1831-position model. The record is from RNAcentral.
CAAUAGCGUAUAUUAAAGUUGUUGCAGUUAAAAAGCUCGUAGUCGAACUUCGGGCCUGGCCGGGCGGUCUGCCUAACGGUAUGUACUGUCUGGCCGGGCCUUACCUCUUGGUGAGCCGGCAUGCCCUUCACUGGGUGUGUCGGUGAACCAGGACUUUUACCUUGAGAAAAUUAGAGUGUUCAAAGCAGGCCUAUGCCCGAAUACAUUAGCAUGGAAUAAUAAAAUAGGACGUGUGGUUCUAUUUUGUUGGUUUCUAGAGUCACCGUAAUGAUUAAUAGGGAUAGUUGGGGGCAUUAGUAUUCAGUUGCUAGAGGUGAAAUUCUUGGAUUUACUGAAGACUAACUUCUGCGAAAGCAUUUGCCAAGGAUGUUUUCAUUGA